GAGCAUGGACGCUAGGGUUCCGGUGUCGUCAGUAGUAAUGGCGACAUGUCUGGUCCGAGAGCAGCCGGCCGGUGCGACAUCGUGCAAGCGAUCAGCACCGGCUACACGGAGGGAUAAAAGCCCGGGAGGC
Molecule: small RNA, 130 nt
Filed under: Oxalobacteraceae bacterium IMCC9480
Lineage: Bacteria; Pseudomonadati; Pseudomonadota; Betaproteobacteria; Burkholderiales; Oxalobacteraceae
Also listed under: 1 other name
Description: Guanidine-I riboswitch aptamer
Rfam family: Guanidine-I riboswitch aptamer
About the family: This family represents a conserved RNA structure found upstream of the ykkC and yxkD genes in Bacillus subtilis and related genes in other bacteria.
Source: Rfam by way of RNAcentral